RNAcentral lists this transfer RNA (70 nucleotides) under Ralstonia phage RSP15. It matches the Rfam family "tRNA". From Rfam's summary of the family: Transfer RNA (tRNA) molecules are approximately 80 nucleotides in length. Their secondary structure includes four short double-helical elements and three loops (D, anti-codon, and T loops). Lineage: Duplodnaviria; Heunggongvirae; Uroviricota; Caudoviricetes; Pantevenvirales; Ackermannviridae. The record is from Rfam by way of RNAcentral.
GUGGCAAUAGUGUAAUGAGAGCAUACGUGUCUGUGAAACACGUGGAUAGGGAUUGAAACCCGUUGUCACA